GACGAACGCUGGCGGCGUGCUUAACACAUGCAAGUCGAGCGGUAAGGCCCUUUCGGGGGUACACGAGCGGCGAACGGGUGAGUAACACGUGGGUGACCUGCCCUCAGCUCUGGGAUAAGCCCGGGAAACUGGGUCUAAUACCGGAUAUGACUCCAUGACGCAUGUUGUGGGGUGGAAAGCCUUGUGCGGCUGAGGAUGGGCCCGCGGCCUAUCAGCUUGUUGGUGGGAUGANGGCCUACCAAGGCGACGACGGGUAGCCGGCCUGAGAGGGCGACCGGCCACACUGGGACUGAGACACGGCCCAGACUCCUACGGGAGGCAGCAGUGGGGAAUCUUGCGCAAUGGGCGAAAGCCUGACGCAGCGACGCCGCGUGAGGGAUGACGGCCU
RNAcentral lists this ribosomal RNA (388 nucleotides) under uncultured bacterium. RNAcentral describes it as "bacterial SSU rRNA". It matches the Rfam family "Bacterial small subunit ribosomal RNA", at positions 28 to 417 of the family's 1533-position model. The record is from RNAcentral.